Molecule: ribosomal RNA, 709 nt
Filed under: Planocera sp. MK-2019I
Lineage: Eukaryota; Metazoa; Platyhelminthes; Polycladida; Planoceridae
Description: partial 28S rRNA
Rfam family: Eukaryotic large subunit ribosomal RNA
Source: RNAcentral
CCGGACCACGACCAGCGAGUUGUCUUGUCUGAUAUUUGAGGAAGGUAGCGUUGGCUUUGCGAACGUGUUAUAGCCUCGGAUUCGGAGCGAGCGGCGCGUUGGAUGAAUCGAUGCCUGCCCUUUGGGCUCGUACGUUGUCUCUUAUUAGGGUGUAUCUGGCUUCACUGCCUCGGCAGGGGUGUUGGAGACGCUUUGGUUCGAGAUGGCCUCUGCGAUUGGCAUCUACAGUCAGUGGUUUCGAAGUAGGCAGUCCACCUGACCCGUCUUGAAACACGGACCAAGGAGUCUAACAUGUGCGCGAGUCAUUGGGCUCUACGAAACCUAAAGGCGCAGUGAAAGUGAAGAUCCAUUUGGUGGAUUGAGGUAGGAUCCUGGGUUACGUGCUCAGGCGCACUACCGGCCCGUCCGACAUGUUCUCAUGCGGGCGGAGCAAGAGCGUACACGUUGGGACCCGAAAGAUGGUGAACUAUGCUUGCGCAGGUCGAAGCCAGAGGAAACUCUGGUGGAGGACCGUAGCGAUUCUGACGUGCAAAUCGAUCGUCAAACGUGAGUAUAGGGGCGAAAGACUAAUCGAACCAUCUAGUAGCUGGUUCCCUCCGAAGUUUCCCUCAGGAUAGCUGGCACUCGGGAAAUGAAACAGUUUUAUCCGGUAAAGCGAAUGAUUAGAGGUAUUGGGACGAAACUGCUCUCAACCUAUUCUCAAACUUUA